Long non-coding RNA from Mytilus trossulus (common blue mussel), 378 nucleotides. RefSeq lists it as uncharacterized. Lineage: Eukaryota; Metazoa; Mollusca; Bivalvia; Mytilida; Mytilidae. The record is from RefSeq and is a predicted model, not a curated record. The transcript has 3 exons.
GAGCCCUGUUAUAAUGGUGGCACAUGCAUUGAAGUUGGUGAAUCUUUUAAUUGUGCAUGUCCCAUUGGUUACAAUGGUAGCAAGUGUGAAGAAUUAGAAUUUAAACCAAUAUUCGUAGCAUGCAGUGGAAAUGGACAGUCACUACUGGACACAUGGAGAACGCCGUCUAUUGGAAGAGAAAUGGCAAACAUCAAUGAAUCAUGUACAUCUGGUCAUCUGAGAAGUUCGAAUAUUGACAACUGGAACGGGUCGAGUAUUGACCAGGUAAAAGUUGAACUAUUUACAAAUGGAAAAUUGGAUUUAGGUAUUUAUUUUGAUGGCAACCUAUCAACAAGUUCCAAUUGGUUUAGUAAAGAACGGAUUAUUUCUAGUACUUUU